This 26-nucleotide non-coding RNA is filed under the name Homo sapiens (human). The record is from RNAcentral. Lineage: Eukaryota; Metazoa; Chordata; Mammalia; Primates; Hominidae.
GGAGUAAGGAGGUUCCUCGGUUCAGC